Molecule: ribosomal RNA, 504 nt
Filed under: uncultured bacterium
Lineage: Bacteria
Description: partial 16S ribosomal RNA
Rfam family: Bacterial small subunit ribosomal RNA
Source: RNAcentral
AUUGAACGCUGGCGGCAGGCCUAACACAUGCAAGUCGAACGGUAGCACAGAGAGCUUGCUCUCGGGUGACGAGUGGCGGACGGGUGAGUAACGUCUGGGAAGCUGCCCGAUGGAGGGGGAUAACUACUGGAAACGGUAGCUAAUACCGCGUAACGUCGCAAGACCAAAGUGGGGGACCUUCGGGCCUCACACCAUCGGAUGUGCCCAGAUGGGAUUAGCUAGUAGGUGGGGUAAUGGCUCACCUAGGCGACGAUCCCUAGCUGGUCUGAGAGGAUGACCAGCCACACUGGAACUGAGACACGGUCCAGACUCCUACGGGAGGCAGCAGUGGGGAAUAUUGCACAAUGGGCGCAAGCCUGAUGCAGCCAUGCCGCGUGUAUGAAGAAGGCCUUCGGGUUGUAAAGUACUUUCAGCGGGGAGGAAGGCGGUGAAGUUAAUAACUUCACCGAUUGACGUUACCCGCAGAAGAAGCACUGGCUAACUCCGUGCCAGCAGCCGCAGUAA